UUAAAUAAGCAGUUGUCAUCAUAAAAUAAAAUCAACAUGGAUUCCAAUCAUUUUGUCGUUUUUUAUGAGUCAAAGGAUCAUACGUGUCAGAAAAAUUCAUGUUUUUCCAUCAUGGUCACCACGAGAUGGUUUUAAGUACGUGCUGAAAACCUUGCAACAUCAUUG
Haliotis rubra (blacklip abalone) is the source of this 165-nucleotide long non-coding RNA. RefSeq lists it as uncharacterized. The transcript has 3 exons. The record is from RefSeq and is a predicted model, not a curated record. Lineage: Eukaryota; Metazoa; Mollusca; Gastropoda; Lepetellida; Haliotidae.